Molecule: long non-coding RNA, 251 nt
Organism: Electrophorus electricus (electric eel)
Lineage: Eukaryota; Metazoa; Chordata; Actinopteri; Gymnotiformes; Gymnotidae
Source: RefSeq, a predicted model, not a curated record
AGCUGUUAGUACUUUUUGUCUUGCUGCUGAUGCUCCUGGCUGGGGGGAUCAUUGGACUAGGCAUGUUCAUGAACUUUGUGUGUGCCUCUUCACCGGCAAAUAUCCAGACCGUCAAUAUCACAGGGAAUGAUUAUAUAUACACAGUCUUCCCAGUGCAACAAAACGGGCACUACAUCAUCUAUGGCAAAGUGCAGAAGCAGAAGAAUGAGAUCAGGACAUGCAUCGAUGAUGACUUGAGAUUAUGCCGGGAC